RNAcentral lists this ribosomal RNA (403 nucleotides) under Caiman latirostris (Broad-snouted caiman). RNAcentral describes it as "partial 16S ribosomal RNA". It matches the Rfam family "Bacterial large subunit ribosomal RNA", at positions 1953 to 2516 of the family's 2925-position model. Lineage: Eukaryota; Metazoa; Chordata; Crocodylia; Alligatoridae. The record is from RNAcentral.
AAGGUAGCGUAAUCACUUGUUCUCUAAAUAAGGACCAGUAUGAAUGGUUAAACGAGAAUCUAACUGUCUCCUGCAAACAGCCAAUGAAAUUGAUCUUCCUGUGCAAAAGCAGGAAUAACAUCACCAGACGAAAAGACCCUGUGAAACUUAAACCACCUAAGUUAAACCAACAAUACAACUGUAACCCCUACAACCGUUUACACCUAACUUAGCGUUUUCGGUUGGGGUGACCUUAAAACAAAAAAAAACUUUUAAGACAACUAUAACUAAGACCAAAUUAUUAACCAAGACCCACACCUCANAGUACUUAAAUGUAAUUAGAUCCGACAACGUCGAUCAACGAACAAAGCUACUCCAGGGAUAACAGCGCAAUCCCCCUCAAGAGCCCAUAUCGACAGGGGGG